This is a non-coding RNA of Aedes albopictus (Asian tiger mosquito), 72 nucleotides long. NCBI's taxonomy places the organism in Eukaryota, Metazoa, Arthropoda, Insecta, Diptera, Culicidae. The record is from Rfam.
GGCUCGGUAGCUUAGUUGGAAAAGCACUUGUCUGGCGUAUAAGGGUCGUGAGUUCAAAUUUCACCUGAGCUG